This 423-nucleotide long non-coding RNA is filed under the name Fukomys damarensis (Damara mole-rat). RNAcentral's name for it is "lncRNA (ENSFDAG00000027289.1)". Lineage: Eukaryota; Metazoa; Chordata; Mammalia; Rodentia; Bathyergidae. The record is from RNAcentral.
CUAAUCUAAACUUUCUCUUUUAUUGUUAUUAGAUUAUAUUAUUUUGACUAUUGGAGACAUCUAUGAUGAUGAUGAUGAUGCUGUGACACAAAAGCGUUCUGAAACCGAAAAUUCUGUGAAUCCUAAUGAAUCUGAUAAUACAUUGGUGAUACAACCAGACUGUGGAAGUGGCAAUGAAAACUAUCAUGAACUAUUCAACAUGGAACAUGAAGUUGAAGGUGCAGAAGUCCAGCCUGAUCAAGUAGCUUCACAAAUGAACCAUCCAACACACUUCAAAAAAUAUAUUUCUGAGUCAACAGAACAGGAUUUUUGCUCAUCACCCAAAGAAGGACAACCAUCUCCUCCAAGACAGAAUAAUCUGGUUUGUAUAGUAAAGUGAAAAUAUUUCUUUUUUUUUGUUCUUCUCAUUCUACUAUAAUUCUU